Molecule: long non-coding RNA, 300 nt
Organism: Sinocyclocheilus rhinocerous
Lineage: Eukaryota; Metazoa; Chordata; Actinopteri; Cypriniformes; Cyprinidae
Exons: 3
Source: RefSeq, a predicted model, not a curated record
UAUCCAAUCAUAUUUCAGCAAUCGUGUUGCCAGGGUCAAAGAAAUCUGCCUUAAGGCCUUCAGAAUCCACAGUGCAGGCGUCUGUUAGCUUAAAUCAAUGGCAAUGAAACCGUUGCUUUAACCAAUCAGAUUUCGAGUUGGCAACACCAGGGCCAUCUAGCUGGCUAACGAUAACGUCAGCAUUUUCUCCUCCUUUGAUUGGAUGGUCAGCAUACUAGCUAGCCAACAGCAUCACUGUAAAUCGUUUUAUUAAAACUUAGUAAAACUUUUAUUACUGUUCCUCAGGUUUACAUUUUCAGU